Mya arenaria is the source of this 1678-nucleotide long non-coding RNA. RefSeq lists it as uncharacterized. The transcript has 2 exons. The record is from RefSeq and is a predicted model, not a curated record. Lineage: Eukaryota; Metazoa; Mollusca; Bivalvia; Myida; Myidae.
CCGAAAUGUGAUUAUGCUUCUUGACUGACUCAGUGUUUGAAAACAUGACUAACCCAGUAUAAAAUAUUUUAUUUAUGGCGCUGGAGCUAUAUAUAUGGUUUCAAGCUGUGGAAAACCGCAUCGAACUAUUAAAAUUUGCGAGGAAAAUCCAAUGAUAGUUAUUUUUAGCCAUGUUCAAACUCGACCACUAUCUUAGUUAAGAAUAUGACAAAUAUAAUACGUGUUUAAAUGUAAACACGUGAUAAAAUGAUAUUCCUGACAAAACUUAAACUAACCCAUCCUACUCAUGCAUUAAUUUGGCUUUCAAGGCAUCUCCCCAAAAAUAAAUAAAUAAAUGUUAAAAUGUCCGUGGGGAAGUACCCCCAAACCCCUAGGAAACAUGUUAAACCAUUUAUAUUUUGGUUCUGAGGGAGGGUAGGGUGCGAAUGUCGAAAGUGUGUGCCCCUGACUAACGUCCCCUCUUACGUUAAUUCCUGGAUACGCCUCUGAGAUAUUGUCGAACUACACAGGCGUUAGCGACCAAUACAAAUAGCGAGUGCUCCGAUAAGAGUGUUAGUCAUUUUAGGAUUUUGGAGCAUAGUGCACAUACAGAGUGUAACCCUGGUUAGAGCUACUCGGGUUCUUUUACGCGCACCAGUGUAUAGCACUGGCACACGGGACCUCCAUUUAACGUUCGGCAGGGAAUCGACCCUGCGACCCCUGGAUUGACAUUCAAGUGUGUUACCACUAGACCACCGAAUCGCCACGAUGUAGGAAUGGGAACGCAUUCUUAUAUAUUACCAUUCUGUACAAUCGAGUCAACGGGCGACACAAUUGAGAAAACUGAAGCCGUUAGGAAGUCAACGCCACCAUGGUAUUGAUUUACUCAGCUCUGAUGUACUCAGCUGUGAUGUAGCAUGCCUUCAAGCCACUAUCUGAAGAACAUUCAGACGUUCUAAAUGGACCAUUGCCCUGUUGCCAUGGAAAUCAUUAUGAGGAGGAGCACACAAACCGUCACUUGUUUUGAAUACGAGAUGUACCACGAACUGACCAUAAACCAACGGAUGCUCUGUUUAUUUCAUCAGCCAAUUUCGAUGUAAAUUUUACUGAAUAACGACAAACAGUCUUACUCAUAAGCAUCUCUUACUCAUUCGUAUUCCACAACUAAACAUGCUUGCAAUUACACUGUGCCAUCUAUCAUAAUAUAGCAAUGCUGCAAUGACCACAUUUUUUUGUACCAGUUGUUGCUUUAUACUGAAACUUUUAUUGAAAAUGGUGCAUAAAAACUGAUAAAACAUUAAUGUUUCAUUCAUACCUUUGUACAUGUUCUUUCAGUGUAUAUGUUGAUAAUGUUAAUACAUAAUUUAUGUGCAUUUACACAUGUGUUUAUUGCCAACCUCAUCAAAACAUGCAUAGUUUGCUCACAUACAUAUUUCCAACACUCAUUGUUCUCAAUAAGAACCGGCUGUCGGCCAAAAUGGUCGGUUCAAAUGGCAAUAGGGCCGGUUCAAAUUUGGAAAACAAAAUGAAUUUUCAGUAGAAUAAGUAGAAGCUGGUCGUUUACUUUACUAUUUGAGACGGUUCAACCAAAACUUAUUGAGAACCCUGCGGUAACACAGACAUUUACUGAAUGUAUUACUACUUUACUUUGAUUUUGAUAUGUAAAUAAAACAUUGUACAUUUGUACAAAACACUUUCA